RNAcentral lists this ribosomal RNA (253 nucleotides) under uncultured bacterium. RNAcentral's name for it is "partial 16S ribosomal RNA". It matches the Rfam family "Bacterial small subunit ribosomal RNA", at positions 524 to 776 of the family's 1533-position model. The record is from RNAcentral.
UACGUAGGGUGCGAGCGUUGUCCGGAAUUAUUGGGCGUAAAGGGCUCGUAGGCGGUUUGUCGCGUCGGGCGUGAAAACACCGGGCUUAACUCGGUGCUUGCUUUCGAUACGGGCAGACUAGAGGUAUUCAGGGGAGAACGGAAUUCCUGGUGUAGCGGUGAAAUGCGCAGAUAUCAGGAGGAACACCGGUGGCGAAGGCGGUUCUCUGGGAAUAUCCUGACGCUGAGGAGCGAAAGUGUGGGGAGCGAACAGG